GAUCAUGGCUCAGGAUGAACGCUAGCUACAGGCUUAACACAUGCAAGUCGAGGGGCGAGCAUGGUCUUAGCUUGCUAAGGCUGAUGGCGACCGGCGCACGGGUGAGUAACACGUAUCCAACCUGCCGUCUACUCUUGGCCAGCCUUCUGAAAGGAAGAUUAAAUCCAGGAUGGGAUCAUGAGUUCACAUGUCCGCAUGAUUAAAGGUAUUUUCCGGUAGACGAUGGGGGA
This 230-nucleotide ribosomal RNA is filed under the name uncultured bacterium. Its description in RNAcentral is "partial 16S ribosomal RNA". It matches the Rfam family "Bacterial small subunit ribosomal RNA", at positions 15 to 232 of the family's 1533-position model. The record is from RNAcentral.